GGAAAUGUCACUCAUAGAUAAAAUGCUAGGAUCAUAUAUGAUUAUUUGGAUACUUAUAAAACAUACACAUAAAUGAGAACUGAUUAAGGUGGGUUACUCAAUAACACGUGUCACAAUUUCAUAACAUAAAGUUAUCCUAAUCAAAGUGUUUUGCAGCGGAAAACGUGUAAGAUAUACAUAUGAAGAUGUAUACUCAAGGUUACAUUUCUUGAAAUGUCAAAGGAACACCCGCUCAACAUCAUUCCAUUCCAUCAACUGCUCAACCUG
This 267-nucleotide long non-coding RNA is filed under the name Salvia miltiorrhiza (redroot sage). RNAcentral's name for it is "long non-coding RNA (SMIL_LNC012999)". Lineage: Eukaryota; Viridiplantae; Streptophyta; Magnoliopsida; Lamiales; Lamiaceae. The record is from RNAcentral.